Molecule: small nucleolar RNA, 94 nt
Filed under: Panthera leo (lion)
Lineage: Eukaryota; Metazoa; Chordata; Mammalia; Carnivora; Felidae
Description: Small nucleolar RNA SNORD116 (ENSPLOG00000003533.1)
Rfam family: Small nucleolar RNA SNORD116
About the family: HBII-85 is a member of the C/D class of snoRNAs, which contain the C (UGAUGA) and D (CUGA) box motifs. HBII-85 is encoded in a tandemly repeated array with another C/D snoRNA, HBII-52, in the Prader-Willi syndrome (PWS) region of chromosome 15.
Source: Rfam by way of RNAcentral
GGAUCGAUGAUGACUCCCUCAACAGCAUUCCUUGGAAAGCUGAACAAAAUGAGUGAGAACUCCCUCCCCGUCGUUCUCAUCGAAACUGAGGUCC